UACAGAGGAGCCAAGCGUUGUCCGGAUUGACUGGGCGUAAAGCGCACGCAGGCGGACGCGCGCGUGGGGUGUGAAAUCUGGCCGCUUAACGGCCAGGCGCCAUCCCAUACGGCGCGUCUGGAGCAAUGCAGAGGUCGGUGGAAUUGCCGGUGUAGUGGUGAAAUUCGUAGAUAUCGGGAGGAACACCAGUGGCGAAGGCGGCGAUCUGGGUCGAUACUGACGCUGAGGUGCGAAAGCGUGGGGAGCAAACGGG
RNAcentral lists this ribosomal RNA (253 nucleotides) under uncultured bacterium. Its description in RNAcentral is "partial 16S ribosomal RNA". It matches the Rfam family "Bacterial small subunit ribosomal RNA", at positions 524 to 776 of the family's 1533-position model. The record is from RNAcentral.